Molecule: ribosomal RNA, 492 nt
Filed under: uncultured bacterium
Lineage: Bacteria
Description: partial 16S ribosomal RNA
Rfam family: Bacterial small subunit ribosomal RNA
Source: RNAcentral
AUUGAACGCUGGCGGUAGGCCUAACACAUGCAAGUCGAACGGCAGCACAGUAAGAGCUUGCUCUUACGGGUGGCGAGUGGCGGACGGGUGAGAAAUACAUCGCAAUCUACUUUUUCGUGCGGGAGAACGUAGGGAAACUUACGCUAAUACCGCAUACGACCUACGGGUGAAAGCAGGGGAUCUUCGGACCUCGCGCGAUUGAAUGAGCCGAUGUCGGAUUAGCUAGUUGGCGGGGUAAAGGCCCACCAAGGCGACGAUCCGUAGCUGGUCUGAGAGGAUGAUCAGCCACACUGGAACUGAGACACGGUCCAGACUCCUACGGGAGGCAGCAGUGGGGAAUAUUGGACAAUGGGCGCAAGCCUGAUCCAGCCAUACCGCGUGGGUGAAGAAGGCCUUCGGGUUGUAAAGCCCUUUUGUUGGGAAAGAAAAGCAGCAGGUUAAUACCCCGCUGUUCUGACGGUACCCAAAGAAUAAGCACCGGCUAACUUCGUG